Molecule: ribosomal RNA, 433 nt
Filed under: uncultured bacterium
Lineage: Bacteria
Description: partial 16S ribosomal RNA
Rfam family: Bacterial small subunit ribosomal RNA
Source: RNAcentral
GACGAACGCUGGCGGCAUGCCUAACACAUGCAAGUCGAACGAAAAGUUCGGGCCUUUGGGCGCACGUCUGCGUAAGGCGUGGGGAGCGGCACUUGGGUUCGGAAUACCUCCCCGAAAGGGAUGCUAAUGCCAGAUAGGGUCUUAGGACCAAAGAUUUAUUGCAUCGGGAUGGGCCCUCGUUGGAUUAGCUAGUUGGGAGGGUAAAAGCAUACCAAGGGGACGAUCCAUAGCUGGUCUGAGAGGAUGGUCAGCGACACUGGGAGUGAGACACGGCCCAGACUCCUACGGGAGGGAGGAGUGGGGAAUAUAGGACAAUGGGCGAAAGGCUGAUCAAGCAAUGCCGCGUGAGGGAUGAAGGCCGGAGGGUUGUAAAGCUCUUGUACCCGGGAUGAUAAUGACAGUACCGGGAGAAUAAGCUCCGGCUAACUCCGUG